This 328-nucleotide ribosomal RNA is filed under the name uncultured bacterium. Its description in RNAcentral is "bacterial SSU rRNA". It matches the Rfam family "Bacterial small subunit ribosomal RNA", at positions 568 to 898 of the family's 1533-position model. The record is from RNAcentral.
CGUGUAGGCGGUCAGAUAAGUCUGGUGUGAAAGCCCUUGGCUUAACCAAGGAAUGUCGCUGGAAACUGUCUGGCUUGAGUACGAGAGAGGAGAGUGGAAUUCCCGGUGUAGAGGUGAAAUUCGUAGAUAUCGGGAGGAACACCAGUGGCGAAGGCGGCUCUCUGGAUCGAUACUGACGCUGAUACGCGAAAGCGUGGGGAGCAAACAGGAUUAGAUACCCUGGUAGUCCACGCUGUAAACGUCGGGCACUAGGUGUAGGAGGUAUUGACCCUUUGUGCCGAAGCUAACGCAUUAAGUGUCCCGCCUGGGGACUACGCGCAAGGUUAAA